RNAcentral lists this ribosomal RNA (119 nucleotides) under Spinacia oleracea (spinach). Lineage: Eukaryota; Viridiplantae; Streptophyta; Magnoliopsida; Caryophyllales; Amaranthaceae. RNAcentral also lists the same sequence under 7 other names. The record is from RNAcentral.
GGGUGCGAUCAUACCAGCACUAAUGCACCGGAUCCCAUCAGAACUCCGCAGUUAAGCGCGCUUGGGCGAGAGUAGUACUAGGAUGGGUGACCUCCUGGGAAGUCCUCGUGUUGCACCCC